CUUACAUCAUCCUUUUAAAAUAAACUUAGUGAGCUAGAACUCCGAUACCCACCCCUGUCCAUUAGCAUAUCAUCACACUCCCUGUCUCCUUAAUCCACUCUUCCCAUGCAGCCGUUUAUCGUUCUUCCUUUUUAGGUUUUUGAAAUGGAGGCAGUGUGGGAGGGUGAGUGUUGAUAAUGGUGCGAAACAGAAAACAUCCUCAAGGUCCAUGGGGAGAUGGGUUGAUUGGGGUGUCAUGGCCUCCAUGAAACACUCUCUGGAGAGUUAUAGACAGGGAGCCCAACUCACUCGCUUGGAGAGGGGACCCAGAACACCAUCAAGCUAAAACAUGAGGUACCUGAGUGUGGAGAAGGAAGUGUCAUAUGUGUGUGGAGGUCAGAAGACAACUUUUUGGAGUUGGUUCUCCUACCAUGUGGUCCUGGGGAUUAAACUCAGUCAUCAGACUUGGCAGUUAGCACUUUUACCUGUGGAACAUCAUCUCACCGAGGUCCCUGGAGAGAAGGGCACUCUGCACCACUGGGGACUGGACAAUGCCUAUCAAUGGAUAAAGCUCCAACUGGAAUCUGCAGGGCACAUUUCACUUCCCACAUACUUACCACAAACCAGCUGCCCCGGGAGCCUCUGACUCUGUCUUCUCCAUAACUACUGCCCAGAGUGUUCUAUGUGUCCCAGGUUUCACCCCUUUUGUGGUUUCUACUUCUUUGCAUUCAUACAAAAAAUACGAUUUUUCUGAUAUUAAUCUUUUUCUCUGCCUGAUUCUUGGUCUCUGACUACUGAAUCUAAAACAGCAGACAGUAAAAAGGGAAAGGGCCUUUUGCAAAUAAAACAAAAGAAAAACCCUCCCUCUCCUGCAUAGUCAUGUGUUAACAUUUUAGAAAAUGCAUGAACAUCUGAACAAGAAAAUGUAAAUUACCUAUAAACGGCCUGUCUGCUCUGGAGA
RNAcentral lists this long non-coding RNA (940 nucleotides) under Cricetulus griseus (Chinese hamster). Its description in RNAcentral is "lncRNA (ENSCGRG00015032466.1)". The record is from RNAcentral. Lineage: Eukaryota; Metazoa; Chordata; Mammalia; Rodentia; Cricetidae.